UACGUAGGGGGCAAGCGUUGUCCGGAUUUACUGGGCGUAAAGAGCGCGUAGGCGGAAGCUUAAGCGGUGCCUGAAAGCCCCCGGCUCAACCGGGGAGGGUGGUGCCGAACUGGGCUUCUUGAGGGCGAUAGAGGAGAGUGGAAUUCCGGGUGUAGCGGUGAAAUGCGUAGAGAUCCGGAGGAACACCAGUGGCGAAGGCGACACGCUGGGCCGUACCUGACACUGAUGCGCGACAGCAUGGGGAGCAAACAGG
RNAcentral lists this ribosomal RNA (253 nucleotides) under uncultured bacterium. Its description in RNAcentral is "partial 16S ribosomal RNA". It matches the Rfam family "Bacterial small subunit ribosomal RNA", at positions 524 to 776 of the family's 1533-position model. The record is from RNAcentral.